RNAcentral lists this ribosomal RNA (253 nucleotides) under uncultured bacterium. RNAcentral describes it as "partial 16S ribosomal RNA". It matches the Rfam family "Bacterial small subunit ribosomal RNA", at positions 524 to 776 of the family's 1533-position model. The record is from RNAcentral.
GACAGAGGGGGCAAGCGUUGCUCGGAAUUACUGGGCGUAAAGGGCGCGUAGGCGGGCUGGCAAGUCGGUCGUGAAAUCCCUCGGCUCAACUGAGGAUCGUCGAUCGAUACUGCCGUUCUUGGGGAUUGCAGAGGAGACUGGAAUUCCCGGUGUAGCGGUGAAAUGUGUAGAGAUCGGGAGGAACACCGGUGGCGAAGGCGGGUCUUUGGGCAAUUCCUGACGCUGAGGCGCGAAAGCGUGGGGAGCAAACGGG